UACGUAGGGGGCAAGCGUUAUCCGGAUUUACUGGGUGUAAAGGGAGCGCAGACGGAACUGCAAGUCUGAUGUGAAAGCCCGGGGCUCAACCGCGGGACUGCAUUGGAAACUGUAGAUCUGGAGUGCCGGAGGGGCAAGCGGAAUUCCUGGUGUAGCGGUGAAAUGCGUAGAUAUCAGGAGGAACACCGGUGGCGAAGGCGGCUUACUGGACGAUUACUGACGUUGAGGCUCGAAAGCGUGGGGAGCAAACAGGAUUAGAUACCCUGGUAGU
This 271-nucleotide ribosomal RNA is filed under the name uncultured prokaryote. RNAcentral's name for it is "partial 16S ribosomal RNA". It matches the Rfam family "Bacterial small subunit ribosomal RNA", at positions 524 to 794 of the family's 1533-position model. The record is from RNAcentral.